RNAcentral lists this long non-coding RNA (588 nucleotides) under Homo sapiens (human). RNAcentral's name for it is "HSALNT0356625". Lineage: Eukaryota; Metazoa; Chordata; Mammalia; Primates; Hominidae. The record is from RNAcentral.
CAGAGAUCAGCCCACAUGCUGGUGCCGUCCCCUCCGCGCAUCAGGACGUGCAUGCAAAGCAUGGAGGGAAAGUAGGAGUGUUUGUACCAUGAGUCUCUGCACACCCCUCAUCUUGGCUAUAGUAGACUGGACCACAGAUGGACACUGUACCAUGCAGAUUACUUCUUCCAGGAACUUGGAUUGAGACCAAGAGACUCAUGGCAUCCUCUUCUGGCUGCAAGACUUAUAUUUUUAUAUUUAGGCAAUAGAAGAGGGGCAGCAGAUGCCUACCUUGUGGAACAGAGGAAGGCAGGCAGUUCACAGAGAAAGAGGACUAGACAGUCGGACAGAGGGGAGCAGGCUUGGGAGCUUCGUGGAGCCAAUGUCCAUCUCUGUCCUUCCUUUCCACUCGAUGCUCCUGAGUCCCUGCCUUCAACCCCCGCUUGUUUGCUUAAACUGGUUUGAGUUUGUUUCUGCUGUUUGAAAAACAACAACAACAAAACCCCAAACAAAACAAACAUCAAACAAAAACCAAAACAAAACCAUUAACUCACUCAUCCCUGUGAUUGUAUUUUGAGAAAUAAAGGUGAUUUCCUUCAGAAAACAAAG